AUACGGAGGAUCCGAGCGUUAUCCGGAUUUAUUGGGUUUAAAGGGUGCGCAGGCGGCCAUUUAAGUCAGCGGUUAAAUCGUGAGGCUCAACCCCAUUCUGCCGUUGAUACUGGGUGGCUUGAUUGCGGUCGAGGUUGGCGGAAUUCGUUGUGUAGCGGUGAAAUGCAUAGAUAUGACGAAGAACACCGAUUGCGUAGGCAGCUGACCAGACCGCAAAUGACGCUCAUGCACGAAAGUGCGGGGAUCGAACAGGUUUAGAUACCCUGGUAGUCCGCACAGUAAACGAUGAAUACUUGUUUUCGGCGAUAUAAUGUCGGAGGCAAAGCGAAAGCGAUAAGUAUUCCACCUGGGGAGUACGCCGGCAACGGUGAAACUCAAAUGAAUUGACGGGG
This 392-nucleotide ribosomal RNA is filed under the name uncultured bacterium. Its description in RNAcentral is "partial 16S ribosomal RNA". It matches the Rfam family "Bacterial small subunit ribosomal RNA", at positions 523 to 918 of the family's 1533-position model. The record is from RNAcentral.